AUGGCGGCGCCAGUGCCGGGGCCGGAGGUGUUCGACGUCGUCAUCUUCGGGGCCUCGGGCUUCACCGGCAAGUACGUCAUCCGCGAGGCGCUCAAGUUCCUGCCCCCCAACGCCUCCCCGCUGCGUUCCCUCGCGCUCGCGGGCCGCAGCCGGGACCGCGUCGCCGCCGCGCUACGCUGGGCCGCCGCGCCGGGGCCCGCCCCCGACGUCCCCAUCCUCGUCGCCGACGCCUCCGACCCGGCCUCCCUCGCCGCGGUCGCCGCGCGGGCGCGCGUCCUGCUCUCCUGCGCAGGGCCCUUCCGCCUCCACGGCCGCCAGGUGGCCGCGGCCUGCGCCGAGGCGGGGGCCGACUGCCUCGACAUCUCCGGCGAGCCCGAGUUCAUGGAGCGCGUCGAGGCCGACCUCCACGAGGUCGCCGCCAAGAACGGGUCGCUGAUUGUCUCCGCCUGCGGGUUUGACUCCAUCCCCGCGGAGCUCGGGUUCCUGUUCAACUCCAGGCAGUGGACGCCGCCCUCCGCGCCGGUGAGCGUGGUCGCCUACGUCAACCUGGAGUCAGACAGGAAGAUCGUCGGGAACUUCGGCACGUUUCAGUCGGCCGUUCUCGGCGUGGCCAACGCCAGCGAGCUGCAGGCGCUGCGCCGAUCCAGGCCAAGGCCGGCGAAGCCCAGGAUUCCGGGGCCUCCGCCUCCCAAAGGAUCACUGAUUGAGCAUGACAAGGCACUAGGACUGUGGGUGAUGAAGCUACCUUCUGCCGACACAGUGGUUGUGAAGAGAACCCUAGCAAAAGUGACAGAGCAUCCCGAGGGCCUUCCUGGUGCGGACGAAACCCCAGAAUUUGCGGAGCAUAGGAAGGAAUUCUGGUCCUCUAUCAAACCUGCACAUUUCGGUGUGAAGAUCAGCAGCCGUUCGAUCCUGGGCCUUUUCUUGUGGCUGUGCACUGGACUUUUCAUCGGCAUCCUGGGGGGUUUCUCCUUCGGCAGGUCCCUCUUGCUGAAAUUCCCUGAGUUCUUCUCCAUCGGGCUGUUCAGGAAGACCGGGCCAACAGAAGAGGAGGUCUGCAGCGCCUUGUUCAAAAUGUGGUUCAUCGGCCGCGGGUACAGCGACUCGGCCCGCGCAUCAGAGCGUGGAAGCAAGCCAGACAAGGAGAUCGUGACCAGAGUUUCGGGGCCUGAGAUCGGGUACAUCACCACCCCGAUCGUCCUCGUCCAGUGUGCCCUCGUCCUGCUGAGCCAGCGGGCCAAUCUGCCGAAGGGCGGGGUCUACACGCCGGGCGCCGUCUUCGGCCCCACAGAUCUCCAGAAGCGCCUCGAGGAGAAUGGGCUGUCGUUCGAGCUCAUCUCUACGAAGACCCUCCCUUGA
This 1359-nucleotide ribosomal RNA is filed under the name Triticum aestivum (bread wheat). Its description in RNAcentral is "partial small subunit ribosomal RNA". The record is from RNAcentral. Lineage: Eukaryota; Viridiplantae; Streptophyta; Magnoliopsida; Poales; Poaceae.